AUGUGAAGCAGAACCCGAAAAAAUCAUCUCAGUUCAGAUUGCAGGCUGCAACUCGCCUGCAUGAAGUCGGAAUUGCUAGUAAUCGCGGAUCAGCAUGCCGCGGUGAAUACGUUCCCGGGCCUUGUACACACCGCCCGUCACACCAUGGGAGUCGGUAACACCCGAAGCCAGUAGCCUAACCGCAAGGAGGGCGCUAUCGAAGGUGGGAUUGAUGACUGGGGUGAAGUCGUAACAAGGUAUC
This 241-nucleotide ribosomal RNA is filed under the name uncultured bacterium. RNAcentral's name for it is "partial 16S ribosomal RNA". It matches the Rfam family "Bacterial small subunit ribosomal RNA", at positions 1260 to 1500 of the family's 1533-position model. The record is from RNAcentral.